RNAcentral lists this ribosomal RNA (251 nucleotides) under uncultured bacterium. Its description in RNAcentral is "partial 16S ribosomal RNA". It matches the Rfam family "Bacterial small subunit ribosomal RNA", at positions 524 to 776 of the family's 1533-position model. The record is from RNAcentral.
UACGGGGGAGCAAGCGUUGUUCGGAUUUACUGGGCGUAAAGGGCGCGUAGGCGGCGUGACAAGUCACUUGUGAAAUCUCCGGGCUUAACUCGGAACGGUCAAGUGAUACUGUCGUGCUAGAGUACAGAAGGGGCAACUGGAAUUCUCGGUGUAGCGGUGAAAUGCGUAGAUAUCAGGAGGAACACCAAUUGCGAAGGCAGCUCGCUGGGACGUUACUGACGCUGAGACGCGAAAGCGUGGGAGCAAACAGG